AACGAGCGCAACCCCUAUCUUAUGUUGCCAGCACGUUAUGGUGGGGACUCGUAAGAGACUGCCGGGGUCAACUCGGAGGAAGGUGGGGACGACGUCAAGUCAUCAUGCCCCUUAUGUCCAGGGCUUCACACAUGCUACAAUGGCCAGUACAGAGGGCUGCGAGACCGUGAGGGGAGCGAAUCCCUUAAAGCUGGUCUCAGUUCGGAUCGGGGUCUGCAACUCGACCCCGUGAAGUCGGAGUCGCUAGUAAUCGCAGAUCAGCAACGCUGCGGUGAAUACGUUCCCGGGUCUUGUACACACCG
This 302-nucleotide ribosomal RNA is filed under the name Rhodococcus sp. L7. RNAcentral describes it as "bacterial SSU rRNA". It matches the Rfam family "Bacterial small subunit ribosomal RNA", at positions 1091 to 1392 of the family's 1533-position model. The record is from RNAcentral. Lineage: Bacteria; Bacillati; Actinomycetota; Actinomycetes; Mycobacteriales; Nocardiaceae.